Molecule: long non-coding RNA, 1786 nt
Organism: Populus nigra (black poplar)
Lineage: Eukaryota; Viridiplantae; Streptophyta; Magnoliopsida; Malpighiales; Salicaceae
Exons: 2
Source: RefSeq, a predicted model, not a curated record
AUUUUCCAGAAAAAGAACUAAUUACCGACCGUCAUGAGCAGUGAUAGGUUCUAGUUCUAGGGCACAGAAAUCCAUUGAGGCAUUGGCCCAGUGAACUCAAGGCCCAGAUUCAAAACUCACUCACUUCUUUUCAUUUCUUCACAACGAUUUCACAUUUCAUGUCACGUUAAGUUAGCUUGAAGCUUUACUUGCUAACUUUCCAGUAACGCACACAAACCGUUCGAUAAAAUCACCAAGCGAAACCAUCUCCUGGAUAACUCUAUAAUUUCUUACUAUUUCACUCCCACGCUUAAAGAAUACCAUUAUUAUGCAUAACCAAUUGAUUUUUACGACAAUUUACCAUCAUGAACAUGUAAGAUUUCCCCUUUUUUUAGGAAAACAAAAGGCCUGAAAGGCGAUUGUGUUAUUCAAAACGAUGUUUUUGAGUGACCGCAGGCCAAAUUAUUGGCUCUAGUUAGUGUGAUUGGUGUUUUUUGUUCAUUUAAUUGUCAAAAUUUAAAAAAGUUUCUCAUGUUUUUCUUGAUUAAAUGUGGUUUCGAGCUUGAAGUUCAGGUCUUGACUGUUUUACUUGGGUUUUUUUUGGUUAUUUAUUUAUUUAUUUAUAAUAGGGGUUCUUGUAUAUUAUUUGAUCAAGUAGAACAGAAAUAUGAUGUUGUGUUGUGGAGUGCUAUGGCUUCGAGUUUUGUCAAGAAUGGGAAGUAUAAGGAUGGUAUUUAUUGGUUUAGGAGAAAUGCAGAGUUAAAGUUUGGAGGCUACUGGUGCUUGAGAUGAUCUUAGUGAGUUGUGUUGAGGAAACGAGAUUCGUAGGUUGUUGAUAUAGAUUGUCUUUCUCAAAUGUACGAUAUGUUCAUUGUGUAUGCAAAAUGUGGGGAAUUGGAGGGCUGGAUUUGGGUUUUUAGGGGAGGUUGGAAGAAGGAUUUGAUUUCUUGGAAGACUGUAGAUUCUUGGUUGUGCUGAGAAUGAGUUUUGAGAAUGGAAGUUCACCAAUUAAGGGAUAAGGGUUAGAUGGAUGAGGACUUGAGGGCCUUGAGGCAUGUUGGAUUGUGGGGUAAAGCUCAAUGAUGAUGUUUCUCUCUCUUUUCAAUCUGCCCUUCGUCCAUGUGGGCUAGAAUGUAAGGGUCAUGACUUGUUUAUUUCAUUGAAGGAAAAGUAUGGUCGUACUCCAAAACUUGCACAUUAUGCUUGCAUGGUGGAUCUGCUAAUUUGGCAAGGAAAGGUCGAGGAAGCUCUUGAAUUUGAAAUAAAAUGCCAGUGGAGCCUUUAAAAGAAUCUGGGAUCUCCUCUUGCCAUUUGUAGAUCUAGAAGUUGUGGGUCAAUGUGGUGGCAGAAUUUGUGGGGAAAUGGCUUAGUGCCUUGGACCCAGAAAAUACCAUUUAUCCUGAGAUUUUGUUAGACUUGUAUGCGAAGGAGGUAGAUGGGACUAUGUGGUGAGGCUCAAAAUGUUGGCAGAUGGCAAAAGAUUAAUGUAGAGAGCAGAAUGCAGAUAAAUGAUUGUCCACACAAGCAUUUCCAAUUCAUUAAUAUCAACAGAAUUUACCUACGAAGCAUAAUAAAAGAGGGGAUUAGUAGAGGAACAAAGGAGAGAUAAAGAUUGGACUCAAAUUCAUUGCUAAUGUAAGCAAACAUUUUUAUGUGACAUCCAUCAAUUUCUUGUAAUUAUGCAUCAGUGGAUUAGAUCACUGAUCUUACAUAAAAUCACCAUCUUUGGCAGAAAGAAGUACUCCCAGAGAGGACUUUCCAUUGUAAAUCUCUGGAAAUUUUCAUGGUGGAGGUUCUGGCUUUAUCA